ACCCAGAUGACGAGUCCUAAAUAGGACGAAAUGUACGUUAUGCAGGAU
This 48-nucleotide non-coding RNA is filed under the name Trichobilharzia regenti. The record is from RNAcentral. Lineage: Eukaryota; Metazoa; Platyhelminthes; Trematoda; Strigeidida; Schistosomatidae.